UGGCUCAGAACGACGCUGGCGGCAGGCCUCAAACAUGCAAGUCUAGGGGGUGUAGCAAUACAUCACCGGCGGACGGGUGCGUAACGCGUGGGAAUAUACCUAUCGAUUCGGAACAACUGAGGGAAACUUCAGCUAAUACCGAAUACGUCCUAACGGAGAAAGAUUUAUCGUCGAUAGAUUAGCCCGCGUUCGAUUAGCUAGUUGGUGGGGUAACGGCCCACCAAGGCGACGAUCGAUAGCUGUUCUGAGAGGAAGAUCAGCCACACUGGGACUGAGACACGGCCCAGACUCCUACGGGAGGCAGCAGUUGGGAAUCUUGGACAAUGGGGGAAACCCUGAUCCAGCCAUGCCGCGUGAGUGAUGAAGGCCUUCGGGUUGUGAAACUCUUUCGCGCACGACGAUAAUGACGGUAGUGCGAGAAGAAGCUCCGGCUAACUUCGUG
This 442-nucleotide ribosomal RNA is filed under the name uncultured bacterium. RNAcentral's name for it is "bacterial SSU rRNA". It matches the Rfam family "Bacterial small subunit ribosomal RNA", at positions 20 to 507 of the family's 1533-position model. The record is from RNAcentral.